AAGACUGGAUAGAAGAUUGGUCAGAUGAUGAAAAUUCAGAUCGUGGAGAUAGGUCAGAGAAUGGGAACGUAUUGGAAGAUCUUAAUGAAAACAAUGAGCAUGAUGAUGGUGAGGAAAACAACUCGGAGAUCUCGAAUGAAGAUUACAUUAGUCAGCUCAUUUCCGAAUGUCAUAAUGCGUACGACUAUUACGGUGAAUCCGACGCGGAGACAGGCCUUGAUGUCGAAUCAUUAGCGGCACCUGAUUCUGGGAGU
Non-coding RNA from Aegilops tauschii subsp. strangulata, 254 nucleotides. NCBI's taxonomy places the organism in Eukaryota, Viridiplantae, Streptophyta, Magnoliopsida, Poales, Poaceae. The record is from RefSeq and is a predicted model, not a curated record.